Homo sapiens (human) is the source of this 1796-nucleotide long non-coding RNA. RefSeq lists it as uncharacterized. Lineage: Eukaryota; Metazoa; Chordata; Mammalia; Primates; Hominidae. The record is from RefSeq and is a predicted model, not a curated record. The transcript is spliced from 2 exons.
AGAGGACACAGGGAGAAGACAAACGUCCCUUCAUCCUGAGAUUCACUUGGAAAUCCCCUGAACUUCCAACUCCUGGCUGAUGAAACGGAGCAAGUUGUCUCUGCCUUAUGGCCUCCAUCACCAAGCCUGAAGGAGAGUCUCUCAGCCCGGUUUGGGAGUAAACCCAAAACCGUUCAUUCGUCAGGGAAUGCCCCAGGAAACCAGGGCGGUCUUCCAAGCGGGCAGCCACGUUGCCUACUUGAGGCCAAGGCAGAAGCAUCAAUCACAUGGGGCGUAGUUUCUGUCUGGCUAAAGAACGGCUCACGCGGACCUCGGGAAUGCGACUGUGGAAACGACGGGGAAGCUGGAAGGGCUGGGUGGCGGGGGAAGCUGGAGGGCACAGCUUCCAGAUUCCAGUUUGUUAAGAAUCACCUGAAGGACGUUUCUCUGAAGGGAAAGUGGGCAUCUGUGAAGGGUUAGAGGCACAUACUUCAACUUUCCCUAGCACAAGAGUGGAAAUCCAUACUCCUUGGGGAGGGACUUUGUCACUGAACCUUAAGAAAAUGGUUACUGGACUGAGCUUGGUUACUUAUGCCUGUAAUCCUGACGUUUUGGUAGAUGGAAGUGGGAGCAUCGAUUGAGGCCAGGAGUUCUAGCCUAGGCAAUGUAGUGAGACUCUCAUCGAAAAGAAAAUAAAAAAAAGAAGAAAGAAUCUCGUGGCUGUCAUUUUUAAUGUUGCUGGUGUGCAGGGAGGCUGUUUUGACUCUUAUUUCCAUUCUUGGGCCACCGGCAGAGCAGGGCAAAGCUAUGAGGUUACAUAGACCUGGCUUAGACCCCAGUCCCAUUCCCCAGCAGCUUCAGGCCCAAGCAACGGUCUCCAUCUCCCUGAACACAGUCUCCUUAUAGGUAAAAUAACUGCAGAGUUGAUGCUGGAAUUAAAUCAAUGCAGUGGCGAGCCCAGCGCUGCAGAGCCCCGUGCUUAGUGACCAAAAUAAUGUCCCGCCUGCCUCAUCUUCCUCUCGGAUUUUUGCCAAGGCCAAACUGCGCGUGUCCCAGAAAAAAACCCUCGGACACUUGGCCUCUGCCCUGUCUCAGCCGAGUGACUAGGAUGACUGGGAAGUGAAUCACAGGAAAAUCACCCAAGCCCACUCUUCUCCACAGCCGGUGAGCAGAAGGAAGGAAGCAAAGAAGGAAGGGAGGAAGGGAAGAAGGGAGAGUUCAGUUCCCUUUCGUCGUUCACACAGUGGUCCUCCACACCAGGAAACCUAAGGGCUCUGUGGAGGGCCAGGUGCCGUGGCAGCAACACUCCUCAGGGCCUGUUUCAGCACCCCAUUUACGUGGCACAUGAAAAAUUCAGGAUGAACGCCCUGGCUGAAAGCUCUUCCUGGGUUUGGGACAUCAGAAGACCUUCCCGGGAUGGGCUCUUGUCUCUGCAGUAGCUAUGACCUGCACAUAAACCUGUUUCCUACACUGUAAAAUUGGCGUAACCACCAUUCCCUCCCAGUCUUUCUCUGGAGUCCUAAUGGGAACAGUGACGGAAUGAAAGUGACCACGCUGGAACCCGAAGCGCUGUUCCCCUCCGUGGCUUCACACUGAUCUCCACACUAGAAUUCCGUGUCUGCAGUUCAAGUUCAAACUACUGUGGUCGGGGAAGGGCUACAGAGAUCUCGCUUGGCCGUGGAGUCACCGGCCCCGUCCAGUCUUGCUUGGGACACAUACUGGUUUACACUCUCUCGGGUUCAGUUUCCUCAUCUGUAAAUGGGGCUCGUAUCCCCCUCAUAAAGUGGUUUGGGGGAUAAUAAAGCUUGUAAAAGCGC